GAGCACGUAGGUGGGUUUGUUAAGUCAAAUGUGAAAUACACUGGCUCAACCAGUGGACUGCGUUUGAAACUGGCAGACUUGAGUAUAGGAGAGGAGAGUGGAAUUCCUGGUGUAGCGGUGAAAUGCGUAGAUAUCAGGAAGAACAUCGAUGGCGAAGGCAGCUCUCUGGCCUAAAACUGACGCUGAGGCACGAAAGCGUGGGGAGCAAACAGGAUUAGAUACCCUGGUAGUCCACGCCGUAAACGAUGGAUACUAGGUGUGGGGGGUUCGAUUCCCUCUGUGCCGGAGUUAACGCAAUAAGUAUCCCGCCUGGGGAGUACGGUCGCAAGAUUGAAACUCAAAGGAAUUGACGGGGGCCCGCACAAGCGGUGGAGCAUGUGGUUUAAUUCGAUGCAACGCGAAGAACCUUACCAAGGCUUGACAUCCCAUGACUACCUAUGAAAGUAGGGUUGCCCUUCGGGGCCAUGGAGACAGGUGGUGCAUGGUUGUCGUCAGCUCGUGUCGUGAGAUGUUGGGUUAAGUCCCGCAACGAGCGCAACCCUUAUCCUUAGUUGCCAGCAUUAAGUUGGGGACUCUAAGGAGACUGCCGGUGAUAAACCGGAGGAAGGUGGGGAUGACGUCAAAUCAUCAUGCCCUUUAUGCCUUGGGCUACACACGUGCUACAAUGGGUUGUACAGAGGGCAGCGAAGCCGAGAGGUGAAGCGAAUCC
RNAcentral lists this ribosomal RNA (709 nucleotides) under uncultured anaerobic ammonium-oxidizing bacterium. RNAcentral describes it as "bacterial SSU rRNA". It matches the Rfam family "Bacterial small subunit ribosomal RNA", at positions 565 to 1274 of the family's 1533-position model. The record is from RNAcentral.